Molecule: ribosomal RNA, 253 nt
Filed under: uncultured bacterium
Lineage: Bacteria
Description: partial 16S ribosomal RNA
Rfam family: Bacterial small subunit ribosomal RNA
Source: RNAcentral
UACGUAGGGUGCAAGCGUUGUCCGGAAUUAUUGGGCGUAAAGAGCUCGUAGGCGGCUAGUCGCGUCGGCUGUGAAAACCUGGGGCUUAACCCCGGGUCUGCAUUCGAUACGGGCAGGCUAGAGUGUGGUAGGGGAGAUCGGAAUUCCUGGUGUAGCGGUGAAAUGCGCAGAUAUCAGGAGGAACACCGGUGGCGAAGGCGGAUCUCUGGGCCAUUACUGACGCUGAGGAGCGAAAGCGUGGGGAGCGAACAGG